RNAcentral lists this ribosomal RNA (517 nucleotides) under Cytospora sp. QY-2019c. Its description in RNAcentral is "partial large subunit ribosomal RNA". It matches the Rfam family "Eukaryotic large subunit ribosomal RNA", at positions 89 to 629 of the family's 3401-position model. Lineage: Eukaryota; Fungi; Ascomycota; Sordariomycetes; Diaporthales; Cytosporaceae. The record is from RNAcentral.
GCGAGUGAAGCGGCAACAGCUCAAAUUUGAAAGCUGGCUUAGGCCCGCAUUGUAAUUUGCAGAGGAUGCUUCUGGCGAGGUGCCUUCCGAGUUCCCUGGAACGGGACGCCAUAGAGGGUGAGAGCCCCGUAUGGAUGGACACCAAACCUGUGUGAAGCUCCUUCAACGAGUCGAGUAGUUUGGGAAUGCUGCUCUAAAUGGGAGGUAAAUCUCUUCUAAAGCUAAAUACCGGCCAGAGACCGAUAGCGCACAAGUAGAGUGAUCGAAAGAUGAAAAGCACCUUGAAAAGGGGGUUAAACAGUACGUGAAAUUGUUGAAAGGGAAGCGCUUGUGACCAGACUUGCGCCGGGCAGCUCAUCAGGGGUUCUCCCCUGUGCACUCUGCCCGGCUCAGGCCAGCAUCGGUUCUCGUGGGAGGAUAAGAACGGUAGGAACGUGGCCCCCCUCCGGGGGGGUGUUAUAGCCUGCCGUACGAUACUCCCGUGGGGACCGAGGUUCGCGCUCCGCAAGGAUGCUGG